This 232-nucleotide long non-coding RNA is filed under the name Gossypium barbadense (sea-island cotton). Its description in RNAcentral is "long non-coding RNA (GBAR_LNC015787)". The record is from RNAcentral. Lineage: Eukaryota; Viridiplantae; Streptophyta; Magnoliopsida; Malvales; Malvaceae.
AGGAAAUGAAUUAAAAAAGUAAAGCCUUCUCUUUCAAGCCUUGACCUAGGUCAAAGGACCCGGUUUGAACCCGGACCGGAUUGAGCUACCCAACAGGCCACUCCGUCAUCUCAACUUGGCCCAGCAAGCUUUUAGCCCAAAAACUUGGGCUUGGUAUAAUUCCUUAGUUUUAAGUUUAUUUUAAUAGCCCAUUUUUAUUUAUUUUUAAUUGUUGUAUUUAUGUCAUAUUAGC